RNAcentral lists this ribosomal RNA (461 nucleotides) under uncultured bacterium. RNAcentral's name for it is "bacterial SSU rRNA". It matches the Rfam family "Bacterial small subunit ribosomal RNA", at positions 28 to 507 of the family's 1533-position model. The record is from RNAcentral.
GGUGAACGCUGGCGGCGUGCCUAACACAUGCAAGUCGAUCGGAGCAGCAAUGCUUAGAGGCGAACGGGUGAGGAAAACGUAGUAACCAACCCUUUAGACUGGGAUAGCCACUGGAAACGGUGGGUAAUACCGGAUAAGCUCGAGAGAGGAAAGGCAGAGAAGCGCUAAAGGACGGAACUGCGCCCCAUCAGAUAGUUGGUGAGGUAAAGGCUUACCAAGUCAAAGACGGGAAACCGACGUGAGAGCGUGUACGGUCACAAGGGCACUGAGACACGGACCAGACUCCUACGGGAGGCAGCAGUGAGGAAUAUUGCGCAAUGGGGGCAACCCUGACGCAGCAACGCCGCGUGAGUGAGGAAGGUUUUCGGACCGUAAAGCUCUGUCGAGCGGGAAGAAGUGCAUGGUGGCUAAUAUCCAUCAUGCUUGACGGUACCGCUAAAGGAGCACCGGCUAACUCCGUG